Molecule: long non-coding RNA, 1023 nt
Organism: Cyprinus carpio (common carp)
Lineage: Eukaryota; Metazoa; Chordata; Actinopteri; Cypriniformes; Cyprinidae
Exons: 3
Source: RefSeq, a predicted model, not a curated record
AAUAAAAAACACAGGAGUGAAUCACUUAUGUGACGUACUGAAGGAUUCACGCUGUAAACUGGAGAGAUUGAGACUUUAUUACUGUGGCAUUACAGAUGUUUCUUCUUUAACUCAGUCUUUGACAAACACAAAAGCUCUGCAGUUUCUAAAAGAGAUUAAUCUGAGUUAUAAUAAGAUUGGAGACUCAAAGCAGAAGCUCAUUGAUGUGCUACGAGACUCAAACUGUGAACUGAGGGGUGCACCGAAAUUUCGGUCGCCGAAAAUUUCGGCCGAAAAUGGCAUUAUCGGUUUCGGGCCGAAAUAAAAAGUCCAGCCGAAAAUGUCAACCACGCCCCUCCCAUCCGUGCGCUAGCGCUUGGGUUUCACUUACUGUUAUCACUCGUCACCCACCCCUCCCCUCCGUGCUCAAGCAGGUUUCACUCACAUUAUUUCGACGAAGAGAAAAAGCGUAAAAUGACACAAAAAGAGCUGACGGAGAUUGAAACAUCUGGUGAAGGAAGAGACUCGACGGGGAGCGCACCGCAAACGGUGCCCGAGAAACGGUCACGUACAAGUGAGGAGGCGUACACUCCCUCACUUUCUGAGAUGUUUGACGAAAUUUUACAGGAAAGCACCCCAAUUCGUAGCGGUGUUGAAACAAGCGCAGCCGCACAACAAAUAGAGAUGUAUCUAGCUGAACAACCCAUUGCCAGAAGCGACAAUCCUCUGGACUACUGGCGCGCAAACAAAGUGCAAGUAAAUGCAAGUAAAUAAUUGUUUACAUGCAGCAACAGAAUAGAGGCCCACUGCCAUUCUGUGAUUUUUGUGUGCAGUUAUUCAGAUAAUUGUGGAUUGUUUUUUUUCCCCCACAAAUGUUAAACUAUUUUAUUCAGUGGAAGAAAACUUGAAGAAUAAUAAUAUUUAUUUAUUGUUAAAAAAUAUUUUAGGUUUUGUUAUGUAAAUGUAAGUGUUAAUAAAGGUUUGAUGAUUAUUCUAUUGGUUUGUGAUUUUUCAUUUCAGAUCCAUUAAAAAUUAAGCAAUACG